GGGUAGCCCGAGUACGCGCGCGCGACCUCUUCAACGCGAGGCGAGAGAUGCGUGUCUCUCCUCCGCGACGCGACCACGUUCUCUUCUUCCUCGGGGAGCGAUUUUUCCACGGGGAGUCCUCGGUGUCGAGAUGGUCCCGGGGUUCCCCGGGUCCCUCGCGGCCGAGGCAACGAUCGGGGGCUGCUCCCGGGAUACGGAGUAUCGAUUGAAAAUGGCAGGGCGCUUUUUCGCGUGUGUGUCAGCGACCUAAACAAAGGAAUCAGCUGAUCCAGUCAGCCAGUCCCCCGACGCUCUGCUCUGCUACGCGGGCGUCAUCGGAGAUGUCAGCGGAGGAAAAUUAGGUCCCCGACGACGCUCCACGUUCGCGUUCGUCUUCCCUACAUUUUUUUUUUUUGCGAAAUCCUCGCGGGACGCUCCUCCUGGUGCGUCUGGUAGGGAAAAAAAAAUGAGAGGGAGAGAGAAGAUCGAACAAGUCGGAGUAUACUUAAGUGAAAAAGAGAGAGAGAGAGGGAGGGAGAUGGAAAGGGAAAAGAGAGAAAGAGACAAUGUGUACGUAUAUAUGCAUGCACAAUGUCAAUGACAGCUGCGUCGUACGAACGUGGACUGAUAUGUGGACUCGACCUCGCGCGUCAAGUCCGAUUCUUCGUGUCGAAUCUUGUUCCUUUGCAUAUGAAUUUUUGACGUUUUAGAAUUGCCCACACGUGUCAGCUCGCUAUACAAGGUGUCCUACUUUUGCUGUAACUAGCAAUAAGCUACGAGUCGUUUUCGAAGUCAAUUAUUUUGGAAAAAUCUUAGAUCUCGCAUCUGACAGUUAAGAAUGCCAGGAAAUAGUGGUCCUUUAUUCUCUCCCUCUGUUCACCCUCGGAGUCCGUUACAGAGUUAUAGCCCGGAUCUUCCGUAAAGCUUCGGGUUGCAAUAAUGACGACAAUGACGACUCGGUGCUGCGGUAUUGACGAUACCGCCGAGCAUUUAUCGCUGCUUCUUUGCUGCAUGUAUGCAUGAAAUGAGAAAAAUAAAACGUAUUUAAAACAAA
Molecule: long non-coding RNA, 1033 nt
Organism: Nylanderia fulva
Lineage: Eukaryota; Metazoa; Arthropoda; Insecta; Hymenoptera; Formicidae
Source: RefSeq, a predicted model, not a curated record